GAUGAACGCUGGCGGCGUGCUUAACACAUGCAAGUCGAACGGAGUUCUGAUGUGUGAAGCGAAGUAGCUUGCUACGGAGUGGAACUUUUCAGAACUUAGUGGCGGACGGGUGAGUAACGCGUGGGUAACCUGCCUCAUACAGGGGGAUAACAGUUAGAAAUGACUGCUAACACCGCAUAACAUGGCGAGACCGCAUGACCUUGCCAUCAUAAGGUGGUAAAAAGAGAUAUGUAUCGGACUGAGAUGACCUUGCGUCCUAUUAGAUAGUUGGUGGGGUAACGGCCUACCAAGUCAACGAUAGGUAGCCGACCUGAGAGGGUGAUCGGCCACACUGGAACUGAGACACGGUCCAAAACUCCUACGGGAGGCAGCAGUGAGGAAUAUUGGUCAAUGGACGAAAGUCUGAACCAGCCAAGUCGCGUGAAGGAUGAAGGUCCUAUGGAUUGUAAACUUCUUUGUCUGAGGUAAAAAGCGGACGUGUCCGUUCUUGC
Molecule: ribosomal RNA, 491 nt
Filed under: uncultured bacterium
Lineage: Bacteria
Description: bacterial SSU rRNA
Rfam family: Bacterial small subunit ribosomal RNA
Source: RNAcentral